Molecule: ribosomal RNA, 1345 nt
Filed under: uncultured bacterium
Lineage: Bacteria
Description: bacterial SSU rRNA
Rfam family: Bacterial small subunit ribosomal RNA
Source: RNAcentral
GAUGAACGCUAGCGGGAGGCCUAACACAUGCAAGCCGAGCGGUAUUUGUCUUUCGGGACAGAGAGAGCGGCGUACGGGUGCGGAACACGUGUGCAACCUGCCUUUAUCUGGGGGAUAGCCUUUCGAAAGGAAGAUUAAUACCCCAUAAUAUAAUGAAUGGCAUCAUUUAUUAUUGAAAACUCCGGUGGAUAGAGAUGGGCACGCGCAAGAUUAGAUAGUUGGUAGGGUAACGGCCUACCAAGUCAGUGAUCUUUAGGGGGCCUGAGAGGGUGAUCCCCCACACUGGUACUGAGACACGGACCAGACUCCUACGGGAGGCAGCAGUGAGGAAUAUUGGACAAUGGGUGAGAGCCUGAUCCAGCCAUCCCGCGUGAAGGACGACGGCCCUAUGGGUUGUAAACUUCUUUUGUAUAGGGAUAAACCUUUCCACGUGUGGAAAGCUGAAGGUACUAUACGAAUAAGCACCGGCUAACUCCGUGCCAGCAGCCGCGGUAAUACGGAGGGUGCAAGCGUUAUCCGGAUUUAUUGGGUUUAAAGGGUCCGUAGGCGGAUCUGUAAGUCAGUGGUGAAAUCUCACAGCUUAACUGUGAAACUGCCAUUGAUACUGCAGGUCUUGAGUGAGGUAGAAGUAGCUGGAAUAAGUAGUGUAGCGGUGAAAUGCAUAGAUAUUACUUAGAACACCAAUUGCGAAGGCAGGUUACUAUGUCUUAACUGACGCUGAUGGACGAAAGCGUGGGGAGCGAACAGGAUUAGAUACCCUGGUAGUCCACGCCGUAAACGAUGCUAACUCGUUUUUGGGUUUUCGGAUUCAGAGACUAAGCGAAAGUGAUAAGUUAGCCACCUGGGGAGUACGAACGCAAGUUUGAAACUCAAAGGAAUUGACGGGGGCCCGCACAAGCGGUGGAUUAUGUGGUUUAAUUCGAUGAUACGCGAGGAACCUUACCAAGGCUUAAAUGGGAAUUGAUCGGUUUAGAAAUAGACCUUCCUUCGGGCAAUUUUCAAGGUGCUGCAUGGUUGUCGUCAGCUCGUGCCGUGAGGUGUUAGGUUAAGUCCUGCAACGAGCGCAACCCCUGUCACUAGUUGCCAUCAUUAAGUUGGGGACUCUAGUGAGACUGCCUACGCAAGUAGAGAGGAAGGUGGGGAUGACGUCAAAUCAUCACGGCCCUUACGCCUUGGGCCACACACGUAAUACAAUGGCCGGUACAGAGGGCAGCUACCUAGCGAUAGGAUGCAAAUCUCGAAAGCCGGUCUCAGUUCGGAUUGGAGUCUGCAACUCGACUCUAUGAAGCUGGAAUCGCUAGUAAUCGCGCAUCAGCCAUGGCGCGGUGAAUACGUUCCCGGGCCU